Molecule: ribosomal RNA, 512 nt
Filed under: uncultured bacterium
Lineage: Bacteria
Description: partial 16S ribosomal RNA
Rfam family: Bacterial small subunit ribosomal RNA
Source: RNAcentral
GAUGAACGCUGGCGGCGUGCCUAAUACAUGCAAGUCGAACGAAACUUCUUUAUCACCGAGUGCUUGCACUCACCGAUAAAGAGUUGAGUGGCGAACGGGUGAGUAACACGUGGGCAACCUGCCCCAAAGAGGGGGAUAACACUUGGAAACAGGUGCUAAUACCGCAUAACCAUAGUUACCGCAUGGUAACUAUGUAAAAGGUGGCUAUACUACCGCUUUUGGAUGGGCCCGCGGCGCAUUAGCUAGUUGGUAGGGUAAAGGCUUACCAAGGCAAUGAUGCGUAGCCGAAUUGAGAGGGUGAUCGGCCACAUUGGGACUGAGACACGGCCCAAACUCCUACGGGAGGCAGCAGUAGGGAAUCUUCCACAAUGGGCGAAAGCCUGAUGGAGCAACGCCGCGUGGGUGAAGAAGGUCUUCGGAUCGUAAAACCCUGUUGUUAGAGAAGAAAGUGCGUGAGAGUAACUGUUCACGUUUCGACGGUAUCUAACCAGAAAGCCACUGCUAACUACGUG